GCCAAUGAAGAUCCCUGCCAAGAAACUACUACUUUUUGAACACCCAGUACAUAUCGAUAUAUAUCGAAACAAAAUGUAAACAUAUAGUGGCAAUGAGUGGUUCCCAAUCCCAAAUGAAUACUGAUAAGAAUUCACCAGAAGCAUGGGCAACGGCAUGGGUUGCAUUUGCAUGUAAAUUUGAACGACAUCGAACGGUUACUUAUAUGUUUUCAAGCUGAAAUCGCGUGUAGCAGUGCACUGAUUGUGAGUCUUUAGUUUGCCUAUAAUUCAAAGGGAAAUGGCAGUAAAUAAAAAUGUAAUACUAUUGUGAAGUUUACUAAUUUCUAUGAAGUAAGAAAUGCCUCCAAUCCAAAUCUAUCCUGAGUUCUGCUACCUUGAAAGCAGGAUCUGGAUUUCAAAUGUCAAUGUUGUUGGUGGUGAGCCGCCCUGCAACUGUCCUCAAUGUCCUCGCCUUGAGUGUGUUUUUUUAUUAGUACUGAUUCAACUCCUACAAGUGCAGCUCAAUUUCCAUGGUGUCGCAUCAAGACUCCAGAAGGGUCUAAGAAUUGCCUAACAUUCAAUACAGCUCGUCCAAUUCCUCUUUCUACUUACAUUGUCGUGGAGCACGGUAACUGCAAGACAACUCUAUGAGCAGCCGAACUAUGAAAAAAGCAAUGCAGAGUAAAGAAUAUAAGUUUCGAAGUUCAGUGCAUAGAUCUAAAGCCUUAAUUCCCUGGUUUGGAGAUAGGAUCGAAAUCAGAUGCAUGGCCGUAUUGUUGUACUCUUUCAUAUGUAUGCUGACUGCUGAAUUGCUAAAGUACUGAAAAAUGGUUCUCCCAAAACGCAGCUUCACAUUAGAAGAUGUUAGCCAAGCCUUGAGAGCAGCAAAUCUCAGUGCUGCUGACAUUCCACGUAUGAUGCUCACAUCAAAAGAUUUCCAAAGGCUAUGUGAAUCUCUGAACGUUGAAUUUCAGUGCUAACUUUAAAUAAGAUACUACUUCUGUUUUGAGGAUCUAAUGAUAUCUGCUACAAGAAAACCCUCAACACAUGUCCACCUUCUUCAUCCUCAUUGUUUGCAUCUGCUUUGUUAUUACAGAGUCGAUAAUUUAUUUUAACCUUCAAGUCCAUUGAGCCUAGUAUGGGUAUUUUGAGUUGAUUGAAUCUGUUUAAAAAUGUUUAACUCACUCUGCUCUUAUACUUUAAAAAUGUAAGCUCCGCUGUCAUUGAGCACAUCUUCACAGAAUGAUCUGAUAACUUUGCAGCCAAUACAGCAUCCUCUUUUGCCAUAAAAAUUGCCAAUGACAAUUACUUCUUUUGAAGUUUUGACCUUUGCAACCUCGUCAGUUUUACGUAAAUCUUUGUGACCAAAAAUGACCACAUCUUACUGAAAUGACUAAAAUUAUUAAGAUCCAUUAAAACUCACUUUCGCUUACAAUAAAUAAAAUUGGACUAGUUUUAAAGGCUUUCCUUCAUCUUCAGUGAACACCGGCAGUUGGUGUUCACUGAAGAGGAAGAAAUGCCCUCGAAACCAGUCCAAUUUUAUUUAUUUUAAAUGCAAGUGAGUUUUAGUAGUACUUAAUAAUUUUAGUCAUUUUAGAAUCUUGUGUAGUCCAUUUUACGUAUUUAUUGAAAAAUCCUUACAGAGCUUGCUAAUCUUAGAUUGUGCUAUUAAGAAGCACGUGAAAGAAUUCCAAACGUACCGGGCCGUUUCCUUAUUUCUGGGCUCUUGUGAUUAUGUACUGCCAUAUUAACGUUUUAAAUGUUUUUAUCUUCAAAACAAUCUUCAUCAAUUUAUUUAAUAUGCCUCAGAGAUUCUCUGCCCUACAUACCAGCAUUUGUUUCCAAAUUUCGGUGUUUAAAAAUUUUGGAAUCUGAUAUCCUGAUUGUAUAUUGUAUGCAUAUUUUGAAAAAAUUCUGUUCUUAUUGUAAUCAAAAGUGAUUUUACAUACGUCUCAUGAUUGCCCUAUCUCGGGUCUUUGUAGUCCCGGCAUUGUUGAGCCUUUCUUUUCUUUGCCUUUGACUUGUGUAUCCUCAGCCUGUAGUCUCUCGCAAUGACCUAUGUUUGUGAUAUAUUACAGGCAGAUCCUGAGAAAUUUCCUUUUUUCACCUAAAUAUCAACUCGUAGGCAAUCAUUGCUAUCAGGGCAUGGUUGGUAUGAGUAACUCCUUAUUAGCCGUGUUCGUCAAGAAAAUAAGGAAAAGAAAAUGGAUGCAACUAUCUUUAUUUCAAGCCUCAGUAGUUUUAUGGCAAUAAGUGUCUUUACUAUCGAAUUGUUUACUUCCUAGAAUGUAGUUCUCUGUAUUGACUUAUGCACAUCAUACUAGGGACAGUUAGCAAUUAUUUUCCUGUCUCAUAAAUAAUUUAUAAUCAGUAAACCUUUUUCUGAGUGUCUUUUAAUGCUCCAUUGAAGAUGAAUAGAUUCAAAUAUUCAGUGUUACCAUGACUUUCCUGCUGUAGUGUUUGCUUUAAAAGUUCUGUUGUUCAAUGUGACUUUUCAUCCGAUACUAUUUGUACGAAGGUGACAAACUUGUAAGUAUAUCAAACUCAUUAGUUCCUUUUUAUUGGAAUCUUGAUGCAAAGUGACGUAAAUAAUUGGUGAGGAAGAAAAAGCGAUGGUUCUGAAGCAAUAUAGUCCCUGAGCCUUAUCCACUGGUGUGCUAAUUAGUCUGUUUUCUUCAAUUGUUACCAAUAUCCUUCUUUUUGUCAUUUAGUCAGAAAGCAAUUUAUUUUUAGGUAAUACUAGCGCACCAAGUUAAUACUAGUUCAUGUACAGAUUAUUGUUAUUGUUACUUAAAAAUUUAAUUUUCAACUCCCUGCACACAUCUGUGUGUAUGGAGAUGUUGUUCUAAAUGUGCUGUGAAUUAUUAGUUUGUCCUCUUUGAAAACUUGGUGCAAAGUGUCGUAAAUAUUUUGUGAAAAAAAAAGACACUGGAUCUGAAGGGCCUGUACUUAAACUCUUCCUAGUGAUAUGUUAAUUAGUUAUUUCCCUGGAAUUCACUCAGGUUUCUUAUCGCCAUGUAGUCAGGAAGAAAUCUCUCAUUUGCUACGUACCACUGUGCAAAUUUGGAAUUAGUCAAUGUACGUAUCAAUUGUACAUACAACAUACACCAUGACAAGUAUUAAUUUUUUCACAAACUAUCUGAAUUGUAAAUAAUUGCACCCCUAAAUCAUUACCGAAAAUGAGUCUUUGAAAAGAAACAAGGAAAUUCACAGGCUCAAUUUUAGUUUGGAUCUGGGUUCAAGCAUAAUUUUGCCUUGUUACCCAUUUUUUUUUUAAAUAAAAUCAUAUCAGUAUGUACUUUCA
Molecule: non-coding RNA, 3283 nt
Organism: Bemisia tabaci
Lineage: Eukaryota; Metazoa; Arthropoda; Insecta; Hemiptera; Aleyrodidae
Source: RefSeq, a predicted model, not a curated record